CACAGUAGAGUAAGGAAACCGGUGUACAAACAGGAAGCAGUUUCUAAGAUCCGUCAUCUGAUGACAAAGUACCGUGCACCAGGAGUGCUGACACAGCCACUGGGGGUCCGAGGCAGGAGGGUGGUGAUUCUAAGAGCUGACAGUGCUACAGACUGAGUUGAAAACCAGCCUGAGGGACUUUGUGAGACCCAACUCAACCAAAGGGAAGAUGGGGCUGAGAACGUAGCCUGCCUAGCACGCAAGAGACCUGGGCUUCAGUUACUAGUUCCCCAAACGGAAGAUGCCGAGAGUGCAUGAGAGCUGUGUGUUUGAGCUUUCCAGUCAGGUCCAUCAGUACCGACUUCGAACCUUGGCAAGGCUGAGCACACUGAGACACGUCAGAUGCCACAUGCUGCAUGGUGUCGAAAAUGUACUGCCGAAGAGCCGCUGUGGAGAAGAGUGUGCUUUAAAGAAUGGUGGUGAUGGAGCGCGCUUUGAGGGAUGCUGGGUGUCUAAUGGAGGCACGCACAGGAGAGUGUUCUUCACUUCAACCUGGAGGUCCUUCACGCUAGUCAGCUAGUCAGCAGCCCUGCAGCUCCACAUCCUUCUGCGAAGCAGAAGCCGAGUGUGGUAAAAACCAGGGUAGUCAUCUGCUGGGUGUGUGACUGGGCCGGUGGCCUCCCCCUCUGUGCCUAUUUUCUCAUCUGUCCAAUAGAGGCAAUAAAAUCUCCCUCACAGGGAAGUUACCACAAGACAGCCUGUAUGAGAUGUUUAUCACAGUCCCUGUACAUAGCAAGAAAGAGCACAGUUAAUGUAGGCACCUGCCCUUCUAUGGAUUUGUGGUAGUAUAAUUCACCUAUGUAUGUGGAACCAUGGGUGAUUUGGUCCACCCUCUCAACGUCAGAGACCUGUGGUGAGUCAUAAAAGAGUUUCAGGGGCUAGGGAGACAGCUCAGCUUGGAAGUGUGAAGACCUGACUUAGACGACCCAAACCGAUG
This 976-nucleotide long non-coding RNA is filed under the name Cricetulus griseus (Chinese hamster). Its description in RNAcentral is "lncRNA (ENSCGRG00015034472.1)". The record is from RNAcentral. Lineage: Eukaryota; Metazoa; Chordata; Mammalia; Rodentia; Cricetidae.